This 463-nucleotide ribosomal RNA is filed under the name uncultured bacterium. RNAcentral describes it as "partial 16S ribosomal RNA". It matches the Rfam family "Bacterial small subunit ribosomal RNA", at positions 28 to 507 of the family's 1533-position model. The record is from RNAcentral.
GAUGAACGCUGGCGGCGUGCCUAACACAUGCAAGUCGAACGGAAAGGCCCAAGCUUGCUGGGGUACUCGAGUGGCGAACGGGUGAGUAACAGGUGGGCGAUCUGCUCUGCACUUCGGGAUAAGCCUGGGAAACUGGGUCUACGAUCGGAUAGGACAACUCCGAAGUGGUUGUGGUGGAAAGUUUUUGCGGUGUGGGGUGGGCUCGCGGCCUAUCAGCUUGUGGGUGGGGGAGUGGCCUAGCAAGGCGUCGACGAGUAGCCGGCCUGAGAGGGUGUACGGCCACAUUGGGACUGAGGUCCGGCGCAGACACCUACGGGAGACAGCAGUGGGGAUUAUUGCACAAUGGCCGGUAGCCUGAUGCAGCGACGCCGCGUGGGGGAUGACGGCCUUCGGGUUAUAAGCUCCUUUCGAAAAAGACGAAUUUAGGACGGUAUUUGGAGAAGAAGCACCGGCUAACUACGUG